GGGUUGUGAGGUUAAGCGACUAAGCGUACACGGUGGAUGCCCUGGCAGUCAGAGGCGAUGAAGGACGUGCUAAUCUGCGAAAAGCGUCGGUAAGGUGAUAUGAACCGUUACAGCCGGCGAUGUCCGAAUGGGGAAACCCAGUGCAAUUCGUUGCACUAUCGUUAACUGAAUACAUAGGUUAACGAGGCGAACCGGGGGAACUGAAACAUCUAAGUACCCCGAGGAAAAGAAAUCAACCGAGAUUCCCCCAGUAGCGGCGAGCGAACGGGGAGCAGCCCAGAGUCUGAAUCAGCUUGUGUGUUAGUGGAACGGUCUGGAAAGUCCGACGGUACAGGGUGAUAGUCCCGUACACCAAAAUGCACAGGCUGUGAACUCGAAGAGUAGGGCGGGACACGUGGUAUCCUGUCUGAAUAUGGGGGGACCAUCCUCCAAGGCUAAAUACUCCUGACUGACCGAUAGUGAACCAGUACCGUGAGGGAAAGGCGAAAAGAACCCCGGCGAGGGGAGUGAAAAAGAACCUGAAACCGUGUACGUACAAGCAGUGGGAGCACCUUCGGGUGUGACUGCGUACCUUUUGUAUAAUGGGUCAGCGACUUAUAUUCUGUAGCAAGGUUAACCGUAUAGGGGAGCCGCAGGGAAACCGAGUCUUAACUGGGCGUUAAGUUGCAGGGUAUAGACCCGAAACCCGGUGAUCUAGCCAUGGGCAGGUUGAAGGUUGGGUAACACUAACUGGAGGACCGAACCGACUAAUGUUGAAAAAUUAGCGGAUGACUUGUGGCUGGGGGUGAAAGGCCAAUCAAACCGGGAGAUAGCUGGUUCUCCCCGAAAGCUAUUUAGGUAGCGCCUCGUGAAUUCAUCUUCGGGGGUAGAGCACUGUUUCGGCUAGGGGGUCAUCCCGACUUACCAACCCGAUGCAAACUACGAAUACCGAAGAAUGUUAUCACGGGAGACACACGGCGGGUGCUAACGUCCGUCGUGAAGAGGGAAACAACCCAGACCGCCAGCUAAGGUCCCAAAGUCAUGGUUAAGUGGGAAACGAUGUGGGAAGGCACAGACAGCCAGGAUGUUGGCUUAGAAGCAGCCAUCAUUUAAAGAAAGCGUAAUAGCUCACUGGUCGAGUCGGCCUGCGCGGAAGAUGUAACGGGGCUAAACCAUGCACCGAAGCUGCGGCAGCGACACUAUGUGUUGUUGGGUAGGGGAGCGUUCUGUAAGCCUGCGAAGGUGUGCUGUGAGGCAUGCUGGAGGUAUCAGAAGUGCGAAUGCUGACAUAAGUAACGAUAAAGCGGGUGAAAAGCCCGCUCGCCGGAAGACCAAGGGUUCCUGUCCAACGUUAAUCGGGGCAGGGUGAGUCGACCCCUAAGGCGAGGCCGAAAGGCGUAGUCGAUGGGAAACAGGUUAAUAUUCCUGUACUUGGUGUUACUGCGAAGGGGGGACGGAGAAGGCUAUGUUAGCCGGGCGACGGUUGUCCCGGUUUAAGCAUGUAGGCUGGUUGUCCAGGCAAAUCCGGAUAAUCAAGGCUGAGGUGUGAUGACGAGGCACUACGGUGCUGAAGUAACAAAUGCCCUGCUUCCAGGAAAAGCCUCUAAGCAUCAGGUAACAUCAAAUCGUACCCCAAACCGACACAGGUGGUCAGGUAGAGAAUACCAAGGCGCUUGAGAGAACUCGGGUGAAGGAACUAGGCAAAAUGGUGCCGUAACUUCGGGAGAAGGCACGCUGGUGUGUAGGUGAAGUCCCUGCGGAUGGAGCUGAGACCAGUCGAAGAUACCAGCUGGCUGCAACUGUUUAUUAAAAACACAGCACUGUGCAAACACGAAAGUGGACGUAUACGGUGUGACGCCUGCCCGGUGCCGGAAGGUUAAUUGAUGGGGUUAUCCGUAAGGAGAAGCUCUUGAUCGAAGCCCCGGUAAACGGCGGCCGUAACUAUAACGGUCCUAAGGUAGCGAAAUUCCUUGUCGGGUAAGUUCCGACCUGCACGAAUGGCGUAAUGAUGGCCAGGCUGUCUCCACCCGAGACUCAGUGAAAUUGAACUCGCUGUGAAGAUGCAGUGUACCCGCGGCAAGACGGAAAGACCCCGUGAACCUUUACUAUAGCUUGACACUGAACAUUGAGCCUUGAUGUGUAGGAUAGGUGGGAGGCUUUGAAGCGUGGACGCCAGUCUGCGUGGAGCCAACCUUGAAAUACCACCCUUUAAUGUUUGAUGUUCUAACGUUGGCCCCUUACCGGGGUUGCGGACAGUGUCUGGUGGGUAGUUUGACUGGGGCGGUCUCCUCCCAAAGCGUAACGGAGGAGCACGAAGGUUAGCUAAUCCUGGUCGGACAUCAGGAGGUUAGUGCAAUGGCAUAAGCUAGCUUGACUGCGAGCGUGACGGCGCGAGCAGGUGCGAAAGCAGGUCAUAGUGAUCCGGUGGUUCUGAAUGGAAGGGCCAUCGCUCAACGGAUAAAAGGUACUCCGGGGAUAACAGGCUGAUACCGCCCAAGAGUUCAUAUCGACGGCGGUGUUUGGCACCUCGAUGUCGGCUCAUCACAUCCUGGGGCUGAAGUAGGUCCCAAGGGUAUGGCUGUUCGCCAUUUAAAGUGGUACGCGAGCUGGGUUUAGAACGUCGUGAGACAGUUCGGUCCCUAUCUGCCGUGGGCGCUGGAGAAUUGAGGGGGGCUGCUCCUAGUACGAGAGGACCGGAGUGGACGCAUCACUGGUGUUCGGGUUGUCAUGCCAAUGGCACUGCCCGGUAGCUAAAUGCGGAAGAGAUAAGUGCUGAAAGCAUCUAAGCACGAAACUUGCCCCGAGAUGAGUUCUCCCUGAGACUUUAAGUCUCCUGAAGGAACGUUGAAGACGACGACGUUGAUAGGCCGGGUGUGUAAGCGCAGCGAUGCGUUGAGCUAACCGGUACUAAUGAACCGUGAGGCUUAACCUUACAACGCCGAAG
RNAcentral lists this ribosomal RNA (2923 nucleotides) under Klebsiella pneumoniae. Its description in RNAcentral is "bacterial LSU rRNA". It matches the Rfam family "Bacterial large subunit ribosomal RNA". The record is from RNAcentral. Lineage: Bacteria; Pseudomonadati; Pseudomonadota; Gammaproteobacteria; Enterobacterales; Enterobacteriaceae.